This is a long non-coding RNA of Gallus gallus (chicken), 1008 nucleotides long. The record is from Ensembl. Lineage: Eukaryota; Metazoa; Chordata; Aves; Galliformes; Phasianidae.
CUGACUUUAAAAAAAAAAAAAAAAAAAAUCUGAAAGUCCCUGCCACAAACUGUGUCUUAUGAAUUUUUUUAUUUUUUUAACCAUCUUCACCAUUUUACCUAAAUAAAUGCUUCUCUUGGUAUGUAUGUUCCUGGUUCCAGCUUUGCCACGUGGUGCUCAAAAGCGUGUGUAUUAUGGUCUGAUGACAUCAGAGGCAGAUGUUGGUGGUAUGGAAGUAGAGGUUGGACCUUCCCACUCCUAUUCCAUUGUGUUUUGUUGCUACAUGACAGAUGGCAGCAGAUGGGCAGUCUGACAAAAUGGCAUCUGACAUGGAAGUGCAUAUAGAGGAAAGGUGUGCCACUGAAUUCCUCCCCGCAGAAAAAAUGACACCCGGUGGCUUUUGUCUAUGCUUGCUGAAUGUUCAAGGAAAACAAACAGUGGAUGUGAACACACUGAGGAGUUGUAUUAACCAAAGCUCCUCCAGGAAUUCCUGCUGUCAGGCAGAUCUCCUGGUACAUGGUAGAAAAUUAAAGAAUCAGUGAAGAGCACCGUUCAAAAUCCAGUCAUCCUGGACUGGCUCUGAAACACAGAAAAGGACAGUUCUUUCUGAAAGAAGCCAUGGAAGAAUGUCAUUUCCUUCCUACAGUGUCCACCAUGCAUAUUAAAUACGAGGAGAGGAAGAUGAAGUGAAAGAGAAUUUGGCAUGAGGUGAAGGAAUAUUGAAGGACAGCAGAAUGCACAGUCAGGAGAAAGAAGUGGAAUAUGCUGCAGAAUGGAAUAAGACACAUUGUGGAAUAUACUGCAGAAACAAAUCUGCAUACAAAUUCAGAAUAGAAUACUGUGAAUAGGCAGUAAGAACUAAUAUGUUUAGUACUGCAAGGAGAUAAAAGGGCAAAUGAAAACUGAACCACAGCUAUCUGAUUUAGAGCACAGGAAAAUAAACUUGCACCCACCUACAUUUGUCUGGUUAUGCAUACCCUGUUAUGCAAACAACUAAAAUACUAAUUUCAGUUCAUUUUAAUUUCUUAC